Molecule: ribosomal RNA, 405 nt
Filed under: uncultured Glomeromycotina
Lineage: Eukaryota; Fungi; Glomeromycota
Description: SSU rRNA
Rfam family: Eukaryotic small subunit ribosomal RNA
Source: RNAcentral
UUGCGCCGGGUCUCUUCUUCUGGUGAGCUGGAGUGCUCUUUAUUGGGUGCACCAGGGAACCAGGACUAUUACCUUGAAAAAAUUAGAGUGUUUAAAGCGGGCAUUUGCUUGAAUACAUUAGCAUGGAAUAAUGAAAUAGGACGACGGUUCUAUUUUGUUGGUUAUAGGACCAUCGUAAUGAUUAAUAGGGAUAGUUGGGGGCAUUAGUAUUCAAUUGUCAGAGGUGAAAUUCUUGGAUUUAUUGAAGACUAACUACUGCGAAAGCAUUUGCCAAGGAUGUUUUCAUUAAUCAAGAACGAAAGUUAGGGGAUCGAAGACGAUCAGAUACCGUCGUAGUCUUAACCAUAAACUAUGCCGACUAGGAAUCGGGCGAUGUUAUUUUAAUGACUCGCUCGGCACCUUAUG